UGCCGACAACGAGAACUGAGCCAUGAGAGUGGCGAUAAGAAGAGCUAAGGCGAAGCUUGACGCAGUGCUUCACAAAUGGGUUUGAAGUGCUUGUGAUGGACUUCACGUGAGGUGGUAAAGGAAGUAGUGAUACCUCACUCCCAUCACCAUCUUCUUCAAAAACAUUAGGGUUCCUCCGAAAUUGGGUUUUAGAGAGCUUAGCCUUUGAAUUUG
This 213-nucleotide long non-coding RNA is filed under the name Actinidia chinensis (golden kiwifruit). RNAcentral describes it as "long non-coding RNA (ACHI_LNC003749)". The record is from RNAcentral. Lineage: Eukaryota; Viridiplantae; Streptophyta; Magnoliopsida; Ericales; Actinidiaceae.